CGCAAGGGCUCUCACCACGAGAUGAGUCCGCGUCCCAUCAGCUAGUUGGCGGUGUAAUGGACCACCAAGGCUUAGACGGGUAGCUGGUCUGAGAGGAUGGCCAGCCACACUGGGACUGAGACACGGCCCAGACUCCUACGGGAGGCAGCAGUGGGGAAUAUUGGACAAUGGGCGAAAGCCUGAUCCAGCCAUGCCGCGUGAGUGAUGAAGGUCUUCGGAUCGUAAAGCUCUGUGGGAAGGGACGAAAAAGCGUGACCUAAUACGUCUCGCCUUGACGGUACCUUCUUAGCAAGCACCGGCUAACUCCGUGCCAGCAGCCGCGGUAAUACGGAGGGUGCAAACGUUGCUCGGAAUUAUUGGGCGUAAAGCGCAUGUAGGCGGUCCGCUAAGUCGGAUGUGAAAGCCCUCGGCUUAACCGAGGAAGUGCAUCCGAAACUGGCGGGCUAGAGUACGGAAGAGGGUUUCGGAAUUCCCGGUGUAGAGGUGAAAUUCGUAGAUAUCGGGAGGAACACCAGUGGCGAAGGA
RNAcentral lists this ribosomal RNA (525 nucleotides) under uncultured bacterium. RNAcentral's name for it is "bacterial SSU rRNA". It matches the Rfam family "Bacterial small subunit ribosomal RNA", at positions 201 to 722 of the family's 1533-position model. The record is from RNAcentral.